This 491-nucleotide small RNA is filed under the name Pan troglodytes (chimpanzee). RNAcentral describes it as "processed transcript". Lineage: Eukaryota; Metazoa; Chordata; Mammalia; Primates; Hominidae. The record is from RNAcentral.
CUGAGCGUGGAACUGAGCACCUCCCGGCCCCCCCAGCAUCUAGGACGGGUGAAAAGGGAGCCUCCAACUCGCCCACCUCAGCCUGCCUUCUUCACUCAGAAACCAACCUAUGACCCUGUGAGCGAGGACCAAGACCCCUUGUCCAGUGACUUCAAGAGGCUGGGCCUGCGGAAGCCAGGCCUGCCCCGAGGGCUGUGGCUGGCGAAGCCCUCGGCGCGGGUGCCGGGCACCAAGGCCAGCCGAGGCAGCGGGGCUGAGGUCACGCUCAUCGACUUUGCACCCUCGUGGGCGCGGGGGUCCCUGCCGGGCCCAGCCAGGGCCAGACCAACUACGCCUUUGUGCCUGAGCAGGCGCGGCCGCCCCCUCCCCUGGAGGACAACCUGUUCCUCCCGCCCCAGGGUGGGGGCAAGCCGCCCAGCUCCGCACAGACGGCAGAGAUCUUCCAGGCGCUACAGCAGGAGUGCAUGAGGCAACUGCAGGCUCCGGCCGGC